RNAcentral lists this transfer RNA (206 nucleotides) under Burkholderiales bacterium. RNAcentral's name for it is "tRNA-Ser". Lineage: Bacteria; Pseudomonadati; Pseudomonadota; Betaproteobacteria; Burkholderiales. The record is from RNAcentral.
GGAGAGGUGGAUGAGUGGUUUAAGUCGCACGCCUGGAAAGCGUGUGUACGGUGUAAGCCGUACCGCGGGUUCGACAACCGAACAUCCGGUGAAUGUUCGGUUGGACGCCGGGACGUUUUAAGGCCCGGCGGUCCCGAGCCGGAGUGUGGCGAGGGAUGCGUGGAUCGCAGAGGCAAUGCGAGACGCGCACAAUCCCGCCCUCUCUA